Molecule: long non-coding RNA, 661 nt
Organism: Cucumis melo (muskmelon)
Lineage: Eukaryota; Viridiplantae; Streptophyta; Magnoliopsida; Cucurbitales; Cucurbitaceae
Exons: 2
Source: RefSeq, a predicted model, not a curated record
GAAAUUAGGGCAGUUGAUGAGAAAGAGAGAGCCAAAAUAGAAUAAUGUUGUAAAAUUUCUCUUUAUUCAAAAGAAGAGAGAAAUUUAAAAGAAAUUGAGUGAAAGGAACAAAUUAAGGAAACAAAAAAGAUGGUAUUUCGGAUGUACGGAAUGGCAGUAAAGCCAUAUGUUAUGUUUUCUUCGUCGCCUCUUUUUCAUCGUCCUUUCAAAAUUAGAGCUCAAUGUUUCAGAGACGAUCAAGGAAGGUUCAAUAAGAUGGUAGAUAGCAACUUGGGAGUUUUAAGAGAGAGGAUAGAAGAGGUAAAGACGAGAGAGAAACUAGAGAGGUGCUUGAGUUGCAAACAUAAUUAUGGAUGGAACUAUGUGGCUUCCUAUGAUUACAAACUCCAAAAGGACAAACAAUUUUCUGAGUUUCUUCAAAUUUUAUUUCUAAUUACUGCCUCUUUGGGUUUUACAUUUCUUUCUGGUACUUUUUCCCUUUGUUUGCUUUCCUUUCUACUUCAUUUCCACCAUUAAUUCAAUUAACUUCUCCAUUUCUUCCUAUGAAGAAUACUAAACCUUUUUUCAAUUAUUUUAAUUUUGUUUUUCGAUUUUGUCUAUAUUAUUGAUAUUUUCUUUUGAACUAUCAAUGUGAAGAUUUGAACUUCUGAGAUGAUGUUUU